RNAcentral lists this ribosomal RNA (471 nucleotides) under uncultured Alphaproteobacteria bacterium. RNAcentral's name for it is "bacterial SSU rRNA". It matches the Rfam family "Bacterial small subunit ribosomal RNA", at positions 9 to 524 of the family's 1533-position model. Lineage: Bacteria; Pseudomonadati; Pseudomonadota; Alphaproteobacteria. The record is from RNAcentral.
GAGUUUGAUCCUGGCUCAGAGCGAACGCUGGCGGCAGGCUUAACACAUGCAAGUCGAGCGCCCGUAGCAAUACGGGAGCGGCAGACGGGUGAGUAACACGUGGGAACGUGCCUUUUGGUUCGGAACAACCCAGGGAAACUUGGACUAAUACCGGAUAAGCCCUUACGGGGAAAGAUUUAUCGCCAAAAGAUCGGCCCGCGUCUGAUUAGCUAGUUGGUGGGGUAAUGGCCCACCAAGGCUACGAUCAGUAGCUGGUCUGAGAGGAUGAUCAGCCACACUGGGACUGAGACACGGCCCAGACUCCUACGGGAGGCAGCAGUGGGGAAUAUUGGACAAUGGGCGAAAGCCUGAUCCAGCAAUGCCGCGUGAGUGAUGAAGGCCUUAGGGUUGUAAAGCUCUUUUACCCGGGAUGAUAAUGACAGUACCGGGAGAAUAAGCCCCGGCUAACUCCGUGCCAGCCGCCGCAGUAAG